GACGAACGCUGGCGGCGUGCUUAACACAUGCAAGUCGAACGGAAAGGCCCUGCUUUUGUGGGGUGCUCGAGUGGCGAACGGGUGAGUAACACGUGAGUAACCUGCCCUUGACUUUGGGAUAACUUCAGGAAACUGGGGCUAAUAACGGAUAGGAGCUCCUGCUGCAUGGUGGGGGUUGGAAAGUUUCGGCGGUUGGGGAUGGACUCGCGGCUUAUCAGCUUGUUGGUGGGGUAGUGGCUUACCAAGGCUUUGACGGGUAGCCGGCCUGAGAGGGUGAGCGGCCACAUUGGGACUAAGAUACGGCCCAGACACCUACGGGAGGCAGGAGUGGGGAUUAUUGCACAAUGGGCGGAAGCAUGAUGCAGCAACGCCGCGUGCGGGAGAACGGCCUUCGGGUGGUAAACAGCUUUCGCCUGUAACGAGGCGUUAGUGACGGUAUUUGGGAAAGAAGCACGGUCUAACUACGU
RNAcentral lists this ribosomal RNA (467 nucleotides) under uncultured bacterium. RNAcentral's name for it is "partial 16S ribosomal RNA". It matches the Rfam family "Bacterial small subunit ribosomal RNA", at positions 28 to 506 of the family's 1533-position model. The record is from RNAcentral.